GCACUAUCUGCCCUUUUGUUAAAACCUGGCAUUGCCUGCUUACCUAGACCUGGGGUGCCUAUUUCUACUAUAGAGAAAACACACUCCUUGAUGAGCCCCUUGCCUUGGAUUACUGCAGAGAAAGGACAAGAGAUUUCAGGCCUGGAAACCCUCUGUGAGGCCCCACUGAAUCUGUCUUCAGUUAGGACAGGUGGUCUUCACUGAUUGGGUUUCCUGGACAUGGACCCCGUGAUGAAGAACUGAUGCAUAGGCUGUUUGAAAGGAGCACAGUGAGCCCCAUGAGGUGGCAGUCGAAGAUUCAGCAUCUCUACAGGGUACUCUUUAGCUGGAGGCUUUUCAGGGCAUCCUAAAUUAAGGCUACAGAGGGGAUAUUGUGUGAGCAGGCAUGAACACAGCAUGACUGUCAUUGUGUGUCUCUGUGAGAACUCUCAGGUAAUCAGGCACAUUAUCUGUGAGUUGUACUAUUUUAAACAAGCAUCGGUCUCAACAUGGGGCUUAAGAUGUAAGCCACAUGAUGCAAGGAGCCACACUGCUAUAACUGUGAAAGGUCCAGUUCCACUGCUCCCUGAAGAAGAAAAGAAAAGACAUAAUGAUGGGAGAAAGAAUCAAUUAUAUUAUCAACAUGCCAGCAAGCUGGAAGAAGAGGCUCCUGCCCUGAAAAAGUCAUCUUGCUUACGGGGUGCAAGCACAAGGCUUGUACAGGGAUUUUUGGGGGAGGCAUGACAGGAGACAGCACUCUCUAGAGCCUUGAGGAGAGACCAAUGUCCUGGCUGCAAGAGCUCAAUGAGAGGCCAUGGGAUGUUGGAUAAAAACAGGACUCUGGGCCCAGAAGACUUCAGUUCUGCUGCUGGAGGCCACUUUGUAGCUCUGUCCUCAGGCACAUUCCUCCCUUUCUCCAUGCCUCAGCUUCCCCGCCUGUGAUAAGAAUGACACUGGCAUCUGAGUAAAGUUAUGAUGAAAUUAUUUAUUACAUGGGAA
Non-coding RNA from Heterocephalus glaber (naked mole-rat), 978 nucleotides. The record is from RefSeq and is a predicted model, not a curated record. NCBI's taxonomy places the organism in Eukaryota, Metazoa, Chordata, Mammalia, Rodentia, Bathyergidae.